Molecule: long non-coding RNA, 2603 nt
Organism: Bombus terrestris (buff-tailed bumblebee)
Lineage: Eukaryota; Metazoa; Arthropoda; Insecta; Hymenoptera; Apidae
Exons: 2
Source: RefSeq, a predicted model, not a curated record
GCUCUUAUUAAAUAUAUAUCCAUUUUGCGAAAUUACGAUAUCUUUUUUUGUAUUUCUUAUUCUAUAUACUUUCUUUUGUCCGCCACUAUAUGAUAAAAAUACUAGUUUUAAGAUAUGGGUAUUGUUAUUUUAAACGUUAUAUAUAUAUACACGUAUUCAGUGUGCUCCAAAAUGAAGCUCAGUCGGUAAAAAUGACGAUGAUCAGUGACGACAGAAUAAGCAAAGGAAGAAAAAUACGCAGGCGUAUUUUCGUCACGCGGCUGCGAUACGCUUGAUACAAACAUUUAUAUCCAAAGCAAACAGCGAUUGUUGCAGUCGCCUUGUGCAAAUACUGAACAGGCAACGAUUACAAGGCUGGAAUGUGGGUUGUCUUCCAUUUGGUUCGGUUCGAAUUCUGGAUUCUUUUUUGGAAGUGGCUGAUAAACGAUUACGAAGAAUAGAUAAAGGCCGCGGUGCGGAGUUGAUGUUGAUUCCUCGGUCAGCUUACGCAUGACGUCACUCUGUUCCCCGUUUUCUACCAAUUGACUUUGCCCUUAUUCAAAGGCCUUUAGAGCGUCUCGUCGCAAGCUUCUAUUAUAGUGAUUCCAUUCAUAAUAGCCUCUGUCUGUAUCUUUUAGAAAUAUUCAGUUUGUCAGACCUAAGUGUACUAGUGUAUAUUCAGAAAUUUCGAAGCAAAAGUUAAAAUAAGUUUAGCUAGAAUAAACUUAUAUACAACAUUUAAAGGCAUCAUGAGGUGAUUUUUGGAGAGUUCUCUCGGCCACUCAAGUCUGGCGGAGCUGUUGGCGGUCACAAGGAACAAGAGGAAAGGAAGGAAACUGCAGCCAGUGCAAAAAAGGAACUGGUUUAAAGCGCGGUAGCACUUUCUGCGGACCAGAAUUCGCCUGCUUAGCAGCGUAAAGCUAUUGCACGUAACAAUCAACUAGCGUAUCUUGACAGUAGGAGAAAGUGUACUCUAUACAGUCCCGGACUUCCACUUUUCUAACUCACGCAAACCAAAUCUUCGCCUGUGGAAAACGCAACAAGUGAAGUCUGGCUUAUACUAAUUUUUAUAGAAAGUAGAGACGAUAGGAAAGUCAGAAAUAGAUAUAGUGGCUUACGAAAGUAUUCGAAAACUGUUAGAAGCUUUUUAUGUACAUAUAUAUUAUACAAAACAUUUUGAAAUCUGAUAUCGAUCAAAUUUGAAAGAGAUCUAAAAAUUAUAUAUAUAGAGGUUACAAGAUACUUAUUGGAAGCAUAUACUGCGCGUAAAUUAAAGUAUUUGAAGUCAAUUAUUAUUUACUAUAUUAAUAAGUCACAAUGUUUAGUGAGACUAUCUUUAGUAUUAAUCGUACAUUUAAGACUAUUAUUGACUUAAGAUUUCCACGAUGGUUUUCUGAAUUCAUCAUAUUUGAUCUUCAGGUUAUCAAUCGUGUUAUAUAUUAUUUUGUAAGCUGAUCUUUCGUGAAUGUUGUAAUUCACUUCUUCAGGGUUAUCCUGAAACUGUGUGUUUUCAGGUUUCUUUUUAUGGCCGAUUUCCAUUGGCCAACCAGAGGCACUUCUUUUACCAUGAAAAGCAUUGAUAAAAUCUAGAAAUACUCAGUUUCAGCAUAACACUGAAGAAGUAAAAUACGAAACGUCGGGUAACAAAGCAAUAUAUAAUAUGAUUGAUAAUCUGAAGAUCAAUUAUGAAUAGUAUUCAUGCUGUAUACUAAUUUUCUAUUGAGUGUAUAUUUGCGAUAUAUGUCUUGUAAUUUCUAUAUACAUUCCCAAUUAAUAUGGUAGUACAAUAAUUACGAUGAUCGUGUCUCGUUACACUGUUAACGAAUUUUCAAAAAGUUUUGUAGAAUGCAUAUAAUAUAUUCGUAAAAAAUUCUGUGGUCGGUAUACGAGUACUUCUGUGAACCACUGCCUUUUUGAUAGAAAAUUAUGAUAUUCGUCUAUUAUGUUGCACAUACAUGUACGUUUAACAGCGUACAAGUAACAUAUGGCAUCGAGAAAUGAUCGGGAAAGAAGCGUGUAUGAGGUCACUGAACCUCCCUAUGAGCUAACGACGCAUCGUACGUAUCCCUUUUCUCUCUUUUCGCGUUCGUUUCGGUUUUUUCCUGUUCCGUAAAAGAGAGGAGGCCGCCACACGCGCCUAACUGGCAAAACGUGUCACAUGGCUCGCAUCAUUGUGAGAGACGCAUGGUUUGUGGUAAUGGUAAUCCAAUCGCCGGAGACUCGUUCGACUUGAAACUCACUUGUGGUGUCGCUCCUCUAGCUUCGCCUCGUGUCUGCCAGGCCGCUCGACUUUUCUGCUCGUUGGCCUUUUCGGGCUGAAAAACGACGCGACCACGUCCCGCUUUUUUCCCGUGCCGGCCGGUGGCUUUGGUUCGGGUUUCGAUCUGAAAUUUUCAAUAAAAACGCUGUUUUUAUAUUUAUGAGAUAUUACAGAGACGAGAAUUUGUAAAAUCGAGCAAACACGAUUCAAAUACGAUCUUUAAUUUGUAACUAGAUUGUGAGUAUAAUAAUAACCUAAGUUAUAAAUUUAACAAAUUGAAAUUUGUGCACUUGUAUUCUAAAAUUGUAUAUUAUUAUAUUUUUAACCUUGUAUAAUACGUUAAAUAUAAUGUAUGUCACGGAGA